ACUCCUACGGGAGGCAGCAGUGAGGAAUAUUGGUCAAUGGACGCAAGUCUGAACCAGCCAUGUCGCGUGCAGGAAGACUGCCCUAUGGGUUGUAAAACUGCUUUUAUACGGGAAGAAAUAUAGCUACGUGUAGUUAUUUGCCGGUACCGUAUGAAUAAGCAUCGGCUAACUCCGUGCCAGCAGCCGCGGUAAUACGGAGGAUGCGAGCGUUAUCCGGAUUCAUUGGGUUUAAAGGGUGCGUAGGCGGAAGUAUAAGUCAGGGGUAAAAGUUUGUGGCUCAACCAUAAAAUUGCCUUUGAUACUGUAUUUCUUGAGUACAUUUGAGGUAGGCGGAAUGUGUUGUGUAGCGGUGAAAUGCUUAGAUAUAACACAGAACACCGAUUGCGAAGGCAGCUUACUAAACUGUAACUGACGCUGAUGCACGAAAGCGUGGGGAUCGAACAGGAUUAGAUACCCUGGUAGCACAGAG
Molecule: ribosomal RNA, 469 nt
Filed under: uncultured bacterium
Lineage: Bacteria
Description: bacterial SSU rRNA
Rfam family: Bacterial small subunit ribosomal RNA
Source: RNAcentral